Molecule: ribosomal RNA, 645 nt
Rfam family: Eukaryotic small subunit ribosomal RNA
UUAAAGGAAUUGACGGAAGGGCACCACCAGGAGUGGAGCCUGCGGCUUAAUUUGACUCAACACGGGGAAACUCACCCGACCCGGACACUGUGAGGAUAGACAGAUUGAUAGCUCUUUCUUGAUUCGGUGGAUGGUGGUGCAUGGCCGUUCUUAGUUGGUGGAGUGAUUUGUCUGCCUAAUCGCGAUAACGAACGAGACUCUAAUCUGCUAAAUAGUACAGUGGCAUCGGUGCUUUAGCACUACAGUCACUGCAGACUUCUUAGAGAAAUGUGCGGAAUGAAGUCGCAAGAAAGGGAGCAAUAACAGGUCUGUGAUGCCCUUAGAUGUCCGGGGCCGCACGCGCGCUACAAUGAUAACGUCAGCAAGUAAUAAAACCUGGUCCGAAAGGAUUGGGGAAUCUUUGCAUUGUUAUCUCAUCAGGGAUUGAGACUUGUAAUUAUUUCUCAUGAACGAGGAAUUCCUAGUAAAUGUAAGUCAUCAGCUUACGUUGACUAUGUCCCUGCCCUUUGUACACACCGCCCGUCGCUACUACCGAUUGAAUGGUUUAGUGAAAUCAUCAGAUUGAUCCGAUGCGAGGUCUGACUUUGCAUUGGUGUUGAGAAGACGAUUGAACUUGAUCAUUUAGAGGAAGUAAAAGUCGUAACA